Molecule: ribosomal RNA, 273 nt
Filed under: uncultured bacterium
Lineage: Bacteria
Description: partial 16S ribosomal RNA
Rfam family: Bacterial small subunit ribosomal RNA
Source: RNAcentral
GCCUACGGGGCGCAGCAGUGAGGAAUAUUGGUCAAUGGUCGGGAGACUGAACCAGCCAAGCCGCGUGAGGGAUGAAGGUACAGAGUAUCGUAAACCUCUUUUGUCAGGGAACAAAGGCGGGGACGCGUCCCCGGAUGAGUGUACCUGAAGAAAAAGCAUCGGCUAACUCCGUGCCAGCAGCCGCGGUAAUACGGAGGAUGCGAGCGUUAUCCGGAUUUAUUGGGUUUAAAGGGUGCGUAGGCGGGCAUUUAAGCCGGCGGUCAAAUGUCGGGG